AUGCAGUCGAGCGGACUUUAAAAGCUUGCUUUUAAAGUUAGCGGCGGACGGGUGAGUAACACGUGGGCAACCUGCCUGUAAGACUGGGAUAACUUCGGGAAACCGGAGCUAAUACCGGAUAAUCCUUUUCCUCUCAUGAGGAAAAGCUGAAAGACGGCAUCUCGCUGUCACUUACAGAUGGGCCCGCGGCGCAUUACCUAGUUGGUGAGGUAACGGCUCACCAAGGCAACGAUGCGUACCCAACCUGAAAGGGUGAUCGGCCACACUGGGACUGAAACACGGCCCAAACUCCUACGGGAGGCAGCAGUAGGGAAUCUUCCGCAAUGGACAAAAGUCUGACGGAGCAACGCCGCGUGAGUGAUGAAGGUUUUCGGAUCGUAAAGCUCUGUUGUUAGGGAAAAACAAGUACAAAAGUAACUGCUUGUACCUUGACGGUACCUAACCAAAAAGCCACGGCUAACUACGUGCCAGCAGCCGCGGUAAUACGUAGGUGGCAAGCGUUGUCCGGAAUUAUUGGGCGUAAAGCGCGCGCAGGCGGUCCUUUAAGUCUGAUGUGAAAGCCCACGGCUCAACCGUGGAGGGUCAUGGGAAACUGGGGGACUUGAGUGCAGAAAAGAAGAGUGGAAUUCCACGUGUAGCGGUGAAAUGCGUAAAGAUGUGGAGGAACACCAGUGGCGAAGGCGACUCUUUGGUCUGUAACUGACGCUGAGGCGCGAAAAGCGUGGGGAGCAAACAGGAUUAGAUACCCUGGUAGUCCACGCCGUAAACGAUGAGUGCUAAGUGUUAGAGGGUUUCCGCCCUUUAGUGCUGCAGCAAACGCAUUAAGCACUCCGCCUGGGGAGUACGGCCGCAAGGCUG
RNAcentral lists this ribosomal RNA (858 nucleotides) under Niallia circulans. RNAcentral's name for it is "bacterial SSU rRNA". It matches the Rfam family "Bacterial small subunit ribosomal RNA", at positions 55 to 896 of the family's 1533-position model. Lineage: Bacteria; Bacillati; Bacillota; Bacilli; Caryophanales; Bacillaceae. The record is from RNAcentral.